This 66-nucleotide transfer RNA is filed under the name Simocephalus sibiricus. RNAcentral describes it as "tRNA-Cys". Lineage: Eukaryota; Metazoa; Arthropoda; Branchiopoda; Diplostraca; Daphniidae. The record is from RNAcentral.
GGAAGUGUAGUUUAAAAAAAACUCUAAGAUUGCAAAUCUUUGAAUAUAUUACUUAUAUCACUUCUU